Molecule: ribosomal RNA, 228 nt
Filed under: uncultured bacterium
Lineage: Bacteria
Description: partial 16S ribosomal RNA
Rfam family: Bacterial small subunit ribosomal RNA
Source: RNAcentral
UGCGUAGGCGGGCUAAUAAGUCAGUGGUGAAAUCUUUCGGCUCAACCGAGAAACUGCCAUUGAUACUGUUAGUCUUGAGUUCGGUUGAGGUAGGCGGAAUGUGUAAUGUAGCGGUGAAAUGCUUAGAUAUUACACAGAACACCAAUUGCGUAGGCAGCUUACUAGACCGACACUGACGCUGAGGCACGAAAGCGUGGGUAGCGAACAGGAUUAGAUACCCUGGUAGUC